Long non-coding RNA from Aedes albopictus (Asian tiger mosquito), 154 nucleotides. RefSeq lists it as uncharacterized. The transcript has 2 exons. The record is from RefSeq and is a predicted model, not a curated record. NCBI's taxonomy places the organism in Eukaryota, Metazoa, Arthropoda, Insecta, Diptera, Culicidae.
GCCUGACACCCUACAUAUCGAACCCAUCAACACAUGGGCCGGGACCUACGGCUUUACUUCCUAUCCGAGGGAAGGCGUGAUCAGAUAUUUUUGUCUCAGAAAUACCGACGGCGUCGACUAGGAUUGAACCUAGACCGACUGGGGUGAGAGGCAA